Styela clava is the source of this 1741-nucleotide non-coding RNA. Lineage: Eukaryota; Metazoa; Chordata; Ascidiacea; Stolidobranchia; Styelidae. The record is from RefSeq and is a predicted model, not a curated record.
AGAUUUGGUUAUUUUGAAAGGAGGCUAGCACUGAAAACAAGUUGUAUCAUCCCGGUGAACAUUCUCGCUGUAUUUUAGAUUAGGUUAGGGACACUUUGAUAAAUAGUUAGAAUAGUUUAAAUUCCAGAUAUGUGAAAAUAUUUAAAAGCUUGUCUUCAGAAAAGAAAAAGGCAAUUAUGGCCAACGGAUCGAAUGGGGGAAGGAGGGCAUCAAGUCACCCAAAUGAAGAGGGAAAAGCAAAAGUACAAUUCAAGAUGCAGAUAGAUGAAUCUCGUCUGAUUCCCGCAAGCAGACAACUUACCAAGAACGAAUUGGGCGCCUUUUAUGAAGCUUUCACGCUUUUUGACCACAAAGGGAACGGUCGAAUUAGCUGUGAGGAAUUUUUGGAAACGUUACGCCGAGUUGGAGUCAGUGUUAAUGAAAGUGUCGUUUACGACUUGAUCGUAGCUCAGGAUGAAAACGGGAACGGUGAACUCGAUUUUGAAGAAUAUCUAAAUUUCAUGACAAAUGAAGACAUAUUUAUGGGAUUGAUUGGUGGACUUCAUGCUCCAAACAAACCUGAUUAUAAAGAUGUUCUGAUGUAUGAGGUGAUGUCCCAAUUCAUAUCAAGAAGUUGUUUGAAAGAAAAUCAACGCAAUGAAAUAGUUGGCUAUUACACAAGGAAAUUGAAAACUGCUGCAAAGAAACAUAACCUCAUGCAUGCCGCACAUGUUGUUCAUCAUUAUGCCAAUGGUGCUCGAUCUUUGGGUUUGACUGAGAAAGAAAUAUUUAACCAAAUUGAAAAUAUAAAAAAGAUGGCUGAAAAUGAGGGAGAUGAAAAGAAGAAAAAUAGCCCUUAUGCCCAUCCUAUACAACUGAUUUUAACACCCACUGGAACUCAGAAAACGAAUCAGGGCAGGCGUAAACAACCGGGAUGGUGUCCAUCACAGAUUGUCAAUUAUGGAGUGAAACUUCCUCGGAUAAAUGUCAAAGAACCAAAAACAUGUGAUCGCAUUCAUGAUAUCAGAAUGAAAGUACAGAAUGUCAAGGAAGGCUACUAUUGUUCUACUUCGAAAACUAUCAAAUUUCAGGGAUUUGUCGAAAGCGCAACACAAGAAUUUCAAUGAAGUUUGGAAGAACCUGCAUGUUCCAAAUAUAUCAAGUAAUCGGUUGCAAACAAUGAUGAAAGAAAUAUAUGGAACUUAUACUGCGAGUAGACUUACAGGUUGUCGAGGAGAGCAAGGAAAAAAAGAUAAAACGCUGCCUCGAAUUCAGGUACCCACUUCAUCCAAAAGCGAUUCAACUGGAUGAAGGAAGCUGCAUAUGAAACUUUCUGCCUAAUAACGAAUUAUCACAAAAUUAAAAUAAACAAAAUAAAAACAGGGCUUUGUGGAUUUCACCGUCUAUAUUGGUGUGGAGUAAGCACUCCGUGUGAACGAGCGUCAUCCAGUUGCAAUUGUUUUAUACUAGGCCAAAUGUCGUUUACUUUUUAAUUCGAAUCUACGUACUGAUGAAGUGAAUUCAAAAUCUGGAAUGGGCAAUUCUUGCUAAUACAAAUACAUAAUUCUUUGCUCUCCAUUCAGCAAUGCUUUCACGUUAUCGAUUCAUUUUAGUGGUAACAUAUUUCUAAUACGUCUGAAUGUUAUAUAUUUUGCACAAAACAAUAUAGUAAUUCAAGUUCCGAGCAUGCCGAUUAAAAUUCAUAUUUCUAUUCAAAGUUUGAAACGACCUCCUUUAUUUAAAUCAGCACUUAAAAACAGGA